This 253-nucleotide ribosomal RNA is filed under the name uncultured bacterium. Its description in RNAcentral is "partial 16S ribosomal RNA". It matches the Rfam family "Bacterial small subunit ribosomal RNA", at positions 524 to 776 of the family's 1533-position model. The record is from RNAcentral.
UACGUAGGGGGCUAGCGUUGUCCGGAAUCAUUGGGCGUAAAGAGCGUGUAGGCGGUCCGGUAAGUCCGCUGUGAAAGUCGGGGGCUCAACCCUCGAAUGCCGGUGGAUACUGUCGGGCUAGAGUACGGAAGAGGCGAGUGGAAUUCCUGGUGUAGCGGUGAAAUGCGCAGAUAUCAGGAAGAACACCUAUGGCGAAGGCAGCACUCUGGGACGGUACUGACGCUGAGACGCGAAAGCGUGGGGAGCGAUCCGG